GGGCCGGUAGUCUAGCCUGGAAGGACGCCCGCCUUGCGCGCGGGAGAUCCCGGGUUCAAGUCCCGGCCGGUCCACCA
This 77-nucleotide transfer RNA is filed under the name Caldivirga sp. JCHS_4. Its description in RNAcentral is "tRNA-Ala". It matches the Rfam family "tRNA". Rfam says of the family: Transfer RNA (tRNA) molecules are approximately 80 nucleotides in length. Their secondary structure includes four short double-helical elements and three loops (D, anti-codon, and T loops). Further hydrogen bonds mediate the characteristic L-shaped molecular structure. tRNAs have two regions of fundamental functional importance: the anti-codon, which is responsible for specific mRNA codon recognition, and the 3' end, to which the tRNAs corresponding amino acid is attached (by aminoacyl-tRNA synthetases). tRNAs cope with the degeneracy of the genetic code in two manners: having more than one tRNA (with a specific anti-codon) for a particular amino acid; and 'wobble' base-pairing, i.e. permitting non-standard base-pairing at the 3rd anti-codon position. RNAcentral also lists the same sequence under 1 other name. The record is from RNAcentral. Lineage: Archaea; Thermoproteati; Thermoproteota; Thermoprotei; Thermoproteales; Thermoproteaceae.